Non-coding RNA from Haplochromis burtoni (Burton's mouthbrooder), 618 nucleotides. NCBI's taxonomy places the organism in Eukaryota, Metazoa, Chordata, Actinopteri, Cichliformes, Cichlidae. The record is from the annotation of a RefSeq genome assembly.
AUUUCCAUAGAGAGGCACUUUGCAUCAGCAGCACCAUGCUCCAGUGCUCUGGGAGAGUUUAUAGUCCUGAGAGUUGAACACUGGAUGACUGACAGCUGUCCUUCAUCACAACAGAAGCCACAGAAAUCCUCCUCAUCAAAAACAUGACUUUGAUCUGCGUCCUCAUCUGGACUCUCCUCUGCUGCUGCUUCACAGAGUCCAGAGGACAGAUCACAGUGACUCAGCCUGGAGCAGUGAGCUCUGCUGUGGGAGGAUCUGUGAGCAUCAAGUGUAGGACCAGUCAGAAUGUUAAUAGUAAUUUAUCCUGGUACCAACAGAAAGAUGGAGGAGUUCCUAAACUGCUCAUUUACUAUACUAGCACUCGAGUAUCAGGGAUUCCAGCUCGUUUUACAGGCAGUGGAUCAAACUCUGACUUCACUCUGACCAUCAGUGGAGUCCAGGCUGAAGAUGCAGCAGUUUAUUACUGUCAGAGUUUCACUAUUAACAGUCAGUAUGUGUUCACACAGUGAAAAACAGUCGUACAAAAACCUCCCUCAGUCAGACUGAACAGAAACUGAAGUGACUGCUGCAGCUGGAAGAUACUGCAGAGACUGAUACAGUUCACUGAGGACACACACA